Molecule: ribosomal RNA, 501 nt
Filed under: Triticum aestivum (bread wheat)
Lineage: Eukaryota; Viridiplantae; Streptophyta; Magnoliopsida; Poales; Poaceae
Description: partial small subunit ribosomal RNA
Source: RNAcentral
AUGCUGACCACCAACCCGGAACGCGUCCGCGCAAUGGUGGCAUGUGCUGAAAGAUUAGGUGUACCUCGUGGCGCUGGGAUGUUCAGGCAAGCGCUACGGGCUGUCGCGUUUCUCAACGAGGAGAAGAUUGCCGGCAAAGUGGACUACUUGAAGAAUACGCUCAGGUGGUCUGAUGCCGAAGCGAGCAUUGCUGUGUCUAAAGCUCCGCUGCUGCUGUGGAGGUCAAAGGACAUGCUGCAGAGCAAGUCAGAGUUCCUGGUGUCUGAGGUGGGGUUGGAACCCACGCUCAUUGCUCAUCGCCCGAUAAUGCUCACUUACAGCCUGGAGGGCCGGCUCAGGCCCCGGCACUACGUUCUAAAGUUUGUCAAGGCAAAUGGGUUGCUAGAUCGCGAUCGGAGCUACAUCUCUGCAGUCGAUUUGACCGAGAAUGUUUUUGUGGACAAGUUCGUGCGCCCUCACAUUGAAGUUGCGCCGCACCUUGNNNNNNNNNNGCCGAAUUGA